RNAcentral lists this ribosomal RNA (253 nucleotides) under uncultured bacterium. Its description in RNAcentral is "partial 16S ribosomal RNA". It matches the Rfam family "Bacterial small subunit ribosomal RNA", at positions 524 to 776 of the family's 1533-position model. The record is from RNAcentral.
UACGUAGGGGGCAAGCGUUGUCCGGAUUCAUUGGGCGUAAAGAGCGUGUAGACGGCCAGGUAGGUCGGUUGUGAAAACUGGAGGCUCAACCUUCAGAGGUCGACCGAAACCAUCUGGCUAGAGUCCGGGAGAGGAGAGUGGAAUUCCUGGUGUAGCGGUGAAAUGCGCAGAUAUCAGGAAGAACACCCGUGGCGAAAGCGGCUCUCUGGAACGGUACUGACGCUGAGACGCGAAAGCGUGGGGAGCGAACAGG